RNAcentral lists this long non-coding RNA (220 nucleotides) under Homo sapiens (human). RNAcentral describes it as "long non-coding RNA NONHSAT118038.2". Lineage: Eukaryota; Metazoa; Chordata; Mammalia; Primates; Hominidae. The record is from RNAcentral.
AUGGAGUCUCGCUCUGUCGCCCAGGCUGGAGUGCAGUGGCACGAUCUCGGCUCACUGCAAGCUCCACCUCCCAGGUUCACGCCAUUCUCCUGUCUCAGCCUCCCGAGUAGCUGGGACUACAGGCGCCGGCCACCAUGCCCGGCUAAUUUUUUUUGUAUUUUUAGUAGAGACUGGGUUUCACCAUGUUAGCCAGGAUGGUCUCGAUCUCCUGACCUCGUGA